This 1260-nucleotide ribosomal RNA is filed under the name Bacillus subtilis. RNAcentral's name for it is "bacterial SSU rRNA". It matches the Rfam family "Bacterial small subunit ribosomal RNA", at positions 79 to 1325 of the family's 1533-position model. The record is from RNAcentral. Lineage: Bacteria; Bacillati; Bacillota; Bacilli; Caryophanales; Bacillaceae.
UUGCUCCCUGAUGUUAGCGGCGGACGGGUGAGUAACACGUGCGUAACCUGCCUGUAAGACUGGGAUAACUCCGGGAAACCGGGGCUAAUACCGGAUGGUUGUUUGAACCGCAUGGUUCAAACAUAAAAGGUGGCUUCGGCUACCACUUACAGAUGGACCCGCGGCGCAUUAGCUAGUUGGUGAGGUAACGGCUCACCAAGGCAACGAUGCGUAGCCGACCUGAGAGGGUGAUCGGCCACACUGGGACUGAGACACGGCCCAGACUCCUACGGGAGGCAGCAGUAGGGAAUCUUCCGCAAUGGACGAAAGUCUGACGGAGCAACGCCGCGUGAGUGAUGAAGGUUUUCGGAUCGUAAAGCUCUGUUGUUAGGGAAGAACAAGUACCGUUCGAAUAGGGCGGUACCUUGACGGUACCUAACCAGAAAGCCACGGCUAACUACGUGCCACCAGCCGCGGUAAUACGUAGGUGGCAAGCGUUGUCCGGAAUUAUUGGGCGUAAAGGGCUCGCAGGCGGUUUCUUAAGUCUGAUGUGAAAGCCCCCGGCUCAACCGGGGAGGGUCAUUGGAAACUGGGGAACUUGAGUGCAGAAGAGGAGAGUGGAAUUCCACGUGUAGCGGUGAAAUGCGUAGAGAUGUGGAGGAACACCAGUGGCGAAGGCGACUCUCUGGUCUGUAACUGACGCUGAGGAGCGAAAGCGUGGGGAGCGAACAGGAUUAGAUACCCUGGUAGUCCACGCCGUAAACGAUGAGUGCUAAGUGUUAGGGGGUUUCCGCCCCUUAGUGCUGCAGCUAACGCAUUAAGCACUCCGCCUGGGGAGUACGGUCGCAAGACUGAAACUCAAAGGAAUUGACGGGGGCCCGCACAAGCGGUGGAGCAUGUGGUUUAAUUCGAAGCAACGCGAAGAACCUUACCAGGUCUUGACAUCCUCUGACAAUCCUAGAGAUAGGACGUCCCCUUCGGGGGCAGAGUGACAGGUGGUGCAUGGUUGUCGUCAGCUCGUGUCGUGAGAUGUUGGGUUAAGUCCCGCAACGAGCGCAACCCUUGAUCUUAGUUGCCAGCAUUCAGUUGGGCACUCUAAGGUGACUGCCGGUGACAAACCGGAGGAAGGUGGGGAUGACGUCAAAUCAUCAUGCCCCUUAUGACCUGGGCUACACACGUGCUACAAUGGACAGAACAAAGGGCAGCGAAACCGCGAGGUUAAGCCAAUCCCACAAAUCUGUUCUCAGUUCGGAUCGCAGUCUGCAACUCGACUGCGUGAAG